UUUGAUCCUGGCUCAGAUUGAACGCUGGCGGCAUGCUUUACACAUGCAAGUCGAACGGCAGCGCGGGGCAACCUGGCGGCGAGUGGCGAACGGGUGAGUAAUAUAUCGGAACGUACCCAAGAGUGGGGGAUAACGUAGCGAAAGUUACGCUAAUACCGCAUACGAUCUAAGGAUGAAAGCAGGGGAUCUUCGGACCUUGUGCUCCUGGAGCGGCCGAUAUCUGAUUAGCUAGUUGGUGAGGUAAAGGCUCACCAAGGCCACGAUCAGUAGCUGGUCUGAGAGGACGACCAGCCACACUGGAACUGAGACACGGUCCAGACUCCUACGGGAGGCAGCAGUGGGGAAUUUUGGACAAUGGGCGAAAGCCUGAUCCAGCAAUGCCGCGUGAGUGAAGAAGGCCUUCGGGUUGUAAAGCUCUUUUGUCAGGGAAGAAACGGUGGAGGCUAAUAUCCUUCGCUAAUGACGGUACCUGAAGAAUAAGCACCGGCUAACUACGUG
This 498-nucleotide ribosomal RNA is filed under the name uncultured Massilia sp. Its description in RNAcentral is "bacterial SSU rRNA". It matches the Rfam family "Bacterial small subunit ribosomal RNA", at positions 12 to 507 of the family's 1533-position model. Lineage: Bacteria; Pseudomonadati; Pseudomonadota; Betaproteobacteria; Burkholderiales; Oxalobacteraceae. The record is from RNAcentral.